UGUAGCAAUACAAGGCAGACGGCUCAGUAACGCGUAGUCAACCUAACCUAUGGACGGGAAUAACCUCGGGAAACUGAGAAUAAUGCCCGAUAGAGCACUAUAUCUGGAAUGGUUUGUGUUCCAAAUGAUUUAUCGCCGUAGGAUGGGACUGCGGCCUAUCAGUUUGUUGGUGAGGUAAUGGCCCACCAAGACUAUUACAGGUACGGGCUCUGAGAGGAGUAGCCCGGAGAUGGGUACUGAGACACGGACCCAGGCCCUAUGGGGCGCAGCAGGCGAGAAAACUUUGCAAUGUGCGAAAGCACGACAAGGUUAAUCCGAGUGGUUUGUGCUAAACGAACCUUUUGUCGGUCCUAGAAACACCGAUGAAUAAGGGGUGGGCAAGUUCUGGUGUCAGCCGCCGCGGUAAAACCAGCACCUCAAGUGGUCAGGAUGAUUAUUGGGCCUAAAGCAUCCGUAGCCGGCGCUGUAAGUUUUCGGUUAAAUCUGUACGCUCAACGUACAGGCUGCCGGGAAUACUGCAGCGCUAGGGAGUGGGAGAGGUAGACGGUACUCGGUAGGAAGGGGUAAAAUCCUUUGAUCUAUUGAUGACCACCUGUGGCGAAGGCGGUCUACCAGAACACGUCCGACGGUGAGGGAUGAAAGCUGGGGGAGCAAACCGGAUUAGAUACCCGGGUAGUCCCAGCUGUAAACUAUGCAAACUCAGUGAUGCAUUGGCUUGUGGCCAAUGCAGUGCUGCAGGGAAGCCGUUAAGUUUGCCGCCUGGGAAGUACGUACGCAAGUAUGAAACUUAAAGGAAUUGGCGGGGGAGCACCACAAGGGGUGAAGCCUGCGGUUCAAUUGGA
Molecule: ribosomal RNA, 842 nt
Filed under: uncultured archaeon
Lineage: Archaea
Description: bacterial SSU rRNA
Rfam family: Archaeal small subunit ribosomal RNA
Source: RNAcentral